This 106-nucleotide ribosomal RNA is filed under the name Ovis aries (sheep). The record is from RNAcentral. Lineage: Eukaryota; Metazoa; Chordata; Mammalia; Artiodactyla; Bovidae.
GUCUAUAGCCAUCCUUCCUGAGCAUGCCUGAUCUCAGAAGCUAAGCAGCUUUGGGCCUGGUUAGUACUUGGAUGGAAGACCAUGGUCUUCCCUGGUGACUCAGACA